CCUAGUGUGGACGCCGUGGGGACUCUUGCACCAUUGGGGAAACCCUGAUGCAGCGACGCCGCGUGAGCGCUUCCUUCUUUCUUUCUUUCCCUCUCUCUCCUCCUUUCCUCCCCUUACGGUACCUGACUAAGAAGCCCCGGCUAACUACGUGCCAGCAGCCGCGGUAAUACGUAGGGGGCAAUCGUUAUCCGGAUUUACUGGGUGUAAAGGGAGCGUAGACGGCGGUGCAAGUCAGAUGUGAAAGCCCGGGGCUCAACCCCGGGACGGAAGUUGGAACUGUGCUGCUAGAGUGUCGGAGAGGCAGGCGGAAUUCCUAGUGUAGCGGUGAAAUGCGUAGAUAUUAGGAGGAACACCAGUGGCGAAGGCGGCCUGCUGGACGAUGACUGACGUUGAGGCUCGAAAGCGUGGGGAGCAAACAGGAUUAGAGAAAAAAGUAGUC
Molecule: ribosomal RNA, 439 nt
Filed under: uncultured bacterium
Lineage: Bacteria
Description: partial 16S ribosomal RNA
Rfam family: Bacterial small subunit ribosomal RNA
Source: RNAcentral